RNAcentral lists this ribosomal RNA (393 nucleotides) under Acanthamoeba sp. MMN-2011/T4. RNAcentral's name for it is "SSU rRNA". The stretch from base 1 to 348 matches the Rfam family "Eukaryotic small subunit ribosomal RNA", at positions 785 to 1116 of the family's 1831-position model. Lineage: Eukaryota; Discosea; Longamoebia; Acanthamoebidae. The record is from RNAcentral.
UUUUCUGCCACCGAAUACAUUAGCAUGGGAUAAUGGAAUAGGACCCUGUCCUCCUAUUUUCAGUUGGUUUUGGCAGCGCGAGGACUAGGGUAAUGAUUAAUAGGGAUAGUUGGGGGCAUUAAUAUUUAAUUGUCAGAGGUGAAAUUCUUGGAUUUAUGAAAGAUUAACUUCUGCGAAAGCAUCUGCCAAGGAUGUUUUCAUUAAUCAAGAACGAAAGUUAGGGGAUCGAAGACGAUCAGAUACCGUCGUAGUCUUAACCAUAAACGAUGCCGACCAGCGAUUAGGAGACGUUGAAUACAAAACACCACCAUCGGUGCGGUCGUCCUUGGCGUCGGUCUUUCGGGGCCGGCGCGGGGACGGCUUAGCCCGGUGGCACCGGUGAAUGACUCCCUA